RNAcentral lists this ribosomal RNA (2902 nucleotides) under Klebsiella pneumoniae. RNAcentral describes it as "LSU rRNA". It matches the Rfam family "Bacterial large subunit ribosomal RNA". RNAcentral also lists the same sequence under 1 other name. The record is from RNAcentral. Lineage: Bacteria; Pseudomonadati; Pseudomonadota; Gammaproteobacteria; Enterobacterales; Enterobacteriaceae.
GGUUAAGCGACUAAGCGUACACGGUGGAUGCCCUGGCAGUCAGAGGCGAUGAAGGACGUGCUAAUCUGCGAAAAGCGUCGGUAAGGUGAUAUGAACCGUUAUAACCGGCGAUGUCCGAAUGGGGAAACCCAGUGCAAUUCGUUGCACUAUCGUUAACUGAAUACAUAGGUUAACGAGGCGAACCGGGGGAACUGAAACAUCUAAGUACCCCGAGGAAAAGAAAUCAACCGAGAUUCCCCCAGUAGCGGCGAGCGAACGGGGAGCAGCCCAGAGUCUGAAUCAGCUUGUGUGUUAGUGGAACGGUCUGGAAAGUCCGACGGUACAGGGUGAUAGUCCCGUACACCAAAAUGCACAGGUUGUGAACUCGAAGAGUAGGGCGGGACACGUGGUAUCCUGUCUGAAUAUGGGGGGACCAUCCUCCAAGGCUAAAUACUCCUGACUGACCGAUAGUGAACCAGUACCGUGAGGGAAAGGCGAAAAGAACCCCGGCGAGGGGAGUGAAAAAGAACCUGAAACCGUGUACGUACAAGCAGUGGGAGCACCUUCGGGUGUGACUGCGUACCUUUUGUAUAAUGGGUCAGCGACUUAUAUUCUGUAGCAAGGUUAACCGUAUAGGGGAGCCGCAGGGAAACCGAGUCUUAACUGGGCGUUAAGUUGCAGGGUAUAGACCCGAAACCCGGUGAUCUAGCCAUGGGCAGGUUGAAGGUUGGGUAACACUAACUGGAGGACCGAACCGACUAAUGUUGAAAAAUUAGCGGAUGACUUGUGGCUGGGGGUGAAAGGCCAAUCAAACCGGGAGAUAGCUGGUUCUCCCCGAAAGCUAUUUAGGUAGCGCCUCGUGAACUCAUCUUCGGGGGUAGAGCACUGUUUCGGCUAGGGGGUCAUCCCGACUUACCAACCCGAUGCAAACUACGAAUACCGAAGAAUGUUAUCACGGGAGACACACGGCGGGUGCUAACGUCCGUCGUGAAGAGGGAAACAACCCAGACCGCCAGCUAAGGUCCCAAAGUCAUGGUUAAGUGGGAAACGAUGUGGGAAGGCACAGACAGCCAGGAUGUUGGCUUAGAAGCAGCCAUCAUUUAAAGAAAGCGUAAUAGCUCACUGGUCGAGUCGGCCUGCGCGGAAGAUGUAACGGGGCUAAACCAUGCACCGAAGCUGCGGCAGCGACACUAUGUGUUGUUGGGUAGGGGAGCGUUCUGUAAGCCUGCGAAGGUGUGCUGUGAGGCAUGCUGGAGGUAUCAGAAGUGCGAAUGCUGACAUAAGUAACGAUAAAGCGGGUGAAAAGCCCGCUCGCCGGAAGACCAAGGGUUCCUGUCCAACGUUAAUCGGGGCAGGGUGAGUCGACCCCUAAGGCGAGGCCGAAAGGCGUAGUCGAUGGGAAACAGGUUAAUAUUCCUGUACUUGGUGUUACUGCGAAGGGGGGACGGAGAAGGCUAUGUUAGCCGGGCGACGGUUGUCCCGGUUUAAGCAUGUAGGCUGAUUGUCCAGGCAAAUCCGGAUAAUCAAGGCUGAGGUGUGAUGACGAGGCACUACGGUGCUGAAGUAACAAAUGCCCUGCUUCCAGGAAAAGCCUCUAAGCAUCAGGUAACAUCAAAUCGUACCCCAAACCGACACAGGUGGUCAGGUAGAGAAUACCAAGGCGCUUGAGAGAACUCGGGUGAAGGAACUAGGCAAAAUGGUGCCGUAACUUCGGGAGAAGGCACGCUGGUGUGUAGGUGAAGUCCCUGCGGAUGGAGCUGAGACCAGUCGAAGAUACCAGCUGGCUGCAACUGUUUAUUAAAAACACAGCACUGUGCAAACACGAAAGUGGACGUAUACGGUGUGACGCCUGCCCGGUGCCGGAAGGUUAAUUGAUGGGGUUAUCCGUAAGGAGAAGCUCUUGAUCGAAGCCCCGGUAAACGGCGGCCGUAACUAUAACGGUCCUAAGGUAGCGAAAUUCCUUGUCGGGUAAGUUCCGACCUGCACGAAUGGCGUAAUGAUGGCCAGGCUGUCUCCACCCGAGACUCAGUGAAAUUGAACUCGCUGUGAAGAUGCAGUGUACCCGCGGCAAGACGGAAAGACCCCGUGAACCUUUACUAUAGCUUGACACUGAACAUUGAGCCUUGAUGUGUAGGAUAGGUGGGAGGCUUUGAAGCGUGGACGCCAGUCUGCGUGGAGCCAACCUUGAAAUACCACCCUUUAAUGUUUGAUGUUCUAACGUUGGCCCCUGACCGGGGUUGCGGACAGUGUCUGGUGGGUAGUUUGACUGGGGCGGUCUCCUCCCAAAGCGUAACGGAGGAGCACGAAGGUUAGCUAAUCCUGGUCGGACAUCAGGAGGUUAGUGCAAUGGCAUAAGCUAGCUUGACUGCGAGCGUGACGGCGCGAGCAGGUGCGAAAGCAGGUCAUAGUGAUCCGGUGGUUCUGAAUGGAAGGGCCAUCGCUCAACGGAUAAAAGGUACUCCGGGGAUAACAGGCUGAUACCGCCCAAGAGUUCAUAUCGACGGCGGUGUUUGGCACCUCGAUGUCGGCUCAUCACAUCCUGGGGCUGAAGUAGGUCCCAAGGGUAUGGCUGUUCGCCAUUUAAAGUGGUACGCGAGCUGGGUUUAGAACGUCGUGAGACAGUUCGGUCCCUAUCUGCCGUGGGCGCUGGAGAAUUGAGGGGGGCUGCUCCUAGUACGAGAGGACCGGAGUGGACGCAUCACUGGUGUUCGGGUUGUCAUGCCAAUGGCACUGCCCGGUAGCUAAAUGCGGAAGAGAUAAGUGCUGAAAGCAUCUAAGCACGAAACUUGCCCCGAGAUGAGUUCUCCCUGAGACUUUAAGUCUCCUGAAGGAACGUUAAAGACGAUGACGUUGAUAGGCCGGGUGUGUAAGCGCAGCGAUGCGUUGAGCUAACCGGUACUAAUGAACCGUGAGGCUUAACCUU